AGUCUAAGGGGGUGGAUUUGGUCUGCUCUAGGGGGUGGGUGGGGGACAGACGCUGCUGGGAUCUCUGGGUGGGGCCGAGUUAACCCCACACUCCACCCUCCCCUACUCCCCAGCCCUGUGCCCAGCAGGCAGGGGUGUGGCCCUGGUCUCCUGAGAGCCUCCAUUGAGGUUUAGAGUGGUGCAGUGGCAGGGCCUUCGCUAAUUCCUGCCAGCAGGGGGCGGCAACGCCAUUUCAGUCAGAAGGGAGGUUGGCUCAGGCCCAGGGCACUUUCAAGGGGUGAGGAUGUAGCGCCCAGGGUGCUGGGAGCCGCCCUCUUCACAUCCCAGUCCUGUGAGGAAACCUCUGCAGACUCCUCCAAACUGCCUUGUACGUCAUGUUCACCUCCAAAGACAGAGAGUGAAAGAAACCACAGCAUUGAAGAUUCCUUGAAUGGGAUGGGGGCCAGGCUUGAAGCUGGAUCAAACACAUGGCAAAGCAGUACACUAUCCAAUAAAAUAAAUAAAGUUAAAAAAGAAGGAGUAUGAGGAGAAGGACAUACAUAGGUCAGGAGGCAGUACAGUGGAUAAAGCACUGGACUCUCAAGCAUGAAGUCCAAAGUAUGAUCCUGCUAUCCUAAUGCCAGAGUGAUGUCCCAGUUCUUUAUCAUCCUUGCUUAUGUAAACAAACAAAUAAAUAAAUAAACAAAUAAACAACCAGUGCUGGUGAGGUGGUGGAGUGGUGGAGAGAAUGGAACCCUGUAUGCUUGAUAGAGAUGUAAAUUGGUUCAGCUACUCUGGAAAACAGUAUGGAGGUUUGUAAAAAUAAAUAAAUAAAUAAAUAAAAACUACCAGUUGAUCCAGCAAUCCCACUCCUAGAUAUUGAUUCUAAGAACACACACACAAAAAAACUUACCCCCCAAACUAGCUGCACCUCCAUGUUCAUGGCAGCACUACUAUAAUAGACAAGAGGUGGACGCAGUAAAGCCAGUGGGUAGGUGAGAGGAUGGAGAAGUUGUGGUGUAAGCACACAGUGGGAUUCUCUUUAGCUGUGAGGAAAGAUUCAGCUUUGCUUUUUAUUACUAUGUGGAUGAAUCUCCAGGGGAAUAGACAAAGAAG
Molecule: long non-coding RNA, 1095 nt
Organism: Erinaceus europaeus (western European hedgehog)
Lineage: Eukaryota; Metazoa; Chordata; Mammalia; Eulipotyphla; Erinaceidae
Exons: 3
Source: RefSeq, a predicted model, not a curated record